GUGGGGCGAGCGGAGGAGAUAAAAGAGGCCUCGGCGUUUAUUCGUGCGCAAGUAAUGCGGGUAAUUUGUAGAUUCGGCAUUAUCUCCUGCCCCUCAUGACCCCAUCCCAUCUCUUUGGUUCUUUCUUUAUUCGCGGGGAAUUUCUAUCUUGCCUUGGUGGGAGAGAGGGACGCGACGAGGCGAAGAAGGGUGUGGAUAAGGCCUCCACAUGGAGGCGUCGCGCGUUGGAACCCGGGGCGUGCUUCGGCCUGACUGGGACGGACGGACUGGCUCGGCUGAGUACUGCUGACUGUGCCUGCGUGGCUGUGCUUGGGCAGGGGCCACACACUUGAAUUCUACUUGCGGCACGCGGGUUUUCCCCGUCCACUUGUUCUGGGACUGGGUUGUAGGAGAACUGGUGGGCUGAGUAGUUGGACGGGACCAUCGCCCUUUCGAAUGACCUCGGCGCGUGGCAUCCCCACCUUGUCUGUACUUUAUUUAUCAAAGCUACUGUGCCUGUCAUCACUUGCUGGAUCAAUUUCCAUUCCUUUCUUAUAUUGGCUUUUUAAUUGUGGGUGUCUUUUGUGGUGGGGCUAAUCAAUUUUUCAUGGCUUGAUGUUUUUUUUAAGACAGUCAUGCCUAAGAGCAUCUCCAACAGCAUACUCAUAUUUUAUAGAAUAUCCAAAAACUGUCAAUACGUGUAUUUUGUCCCAAAAUACGUCUCUAACAGCGUACCCAUAAAUUUCGGAUAACCAAAUUAUUUUUGAUAGCUAUUCAUAUUGGAGGUUAAAAUAUGGUAGCUGUCCAAAACACCCGACCAGUGGCGGGACGGCCAACUGCCUCGUUCCGGCCAUUUCCGAGCCGGCGCCGGUCUCCGAUUCCGGCGGCCGGACCGCGCCGCCGCCGACCACCGCUGUCCUCCCACCGUAGCCGACCCCUCCGCCACCUCCCUGGGUGCCCCCGCCGGCGUUCCCCUGCCCCCGUUCGGCUUAGCCCCGGCCGCAUCGGGUGCCGCCGCUGGCGGGGCCGCCCCCAACUGCUGCCCCGCGCCUGGCGCCACCGUAGCCAGACGGGGAGAGGAAGAAGAGCAGGGGCCGCCCGCUCCCUCUGCCCCGCGUCCCCAAGGCGCGACGGUGGCUCGCGCGGUGCCGAUGCCGGCAGGCGCCUCGCGGCCCUCGUCCGAGCCUGCGGUGGCCUCCGUCAGCCCUCGUCCAAGCCUUCCGCGGCCUCUGCCGGCCUCGCCGCUGCAUUCCACCGCCCGAGAUGGCUGCCGCCGCCACCUGCGCCCUCGGCCACGCACCGCGCUGCAGCCGCCUGCGCCUCCGUGUGCAGCUCUGCUCGUACCGCGCCGCCACCGCCCGUGCCCUGGGUCCCCGCCUGUGUGCCAGAGGGCGCCAUGCCGCUCAGCUCUGCUCAGAGGAAGGAGAAACUUUUUAGUGUUACGAUGUUGGAAAUGUUCCUAUGGGUUGUUAUGUUAGUCUUGUUUGGCAGGGUGCAGGCUUGUCCUGACGUAAUCAACUACUGCAAAAGUGAAGUGCCGUCCACUCGGUUUUGUCUAAACUCUGUUCCAUUUGGUACAAGGAGAACCAACGGAUGCCGUUCUUUUCUCGAUUGGGAUAGGAAGGAAGGAUGUGAUGCUAUGAGUGAACAAGCCACUUGUAUUUUAUUUAUUUAUUUCUUUUUGGAGAGAGAGAAUAUCCCUGAAGAUGAAAGAGAGCACCAAACGCCAAAAGCUAGUCGCAGCUAAGAUUAUUAGACCCAAGUAUUUGAAGAAAAAGACGGCCAUCUGGGCUUGUAUUUUUAAAGAAUCCUGUUCUUAUCUCUCCAAUUUUCUGCAAAGUCGGAGAUCACCCACUUGACCACUAACGUUGACUCAUUGUCCAACCUUCACUUUUGGUCUUCAUCUUAAGCCUUCCCAAAAAAUUAUUGUAGUGACAAUUCUGAAGAAUCAAACACUUUACAAGUGUUCGCAUGUAGCCCAAAUAGCAUUUACUCUUGUAAGAGGAACAAUUGAUGGCGGUGGUCCGUCACCACUCCGCUUUUUUUAUUUGUAAAAAAGUUACAAUUAGAUUUAUUACAUAACUAGAUAGUGAUGAUAUUUGCCAUAA
RNAcentral lists this long non-coding RNA (2087 nucleotides) under Brachypodium distachyon (stiff brome). RNAcentral's name for it is "long non-coding RNA (BDIS_LNC004000)". Lineage: Eukaryota; Viridiplantae; Streptophyta; Magnoliopsida; Poales; Poaceae. The record is from RNAcentral.